Molecule: long non-coding RNA, 413 nt
Organism: Daphnia magna
Lineage: Eukaryota; Metazoa; Arthropoda; Branchiopoda; Diplostraca; Daphniidae
Exons: 2
Source: RefSeq, a predicted model, not a curated record
AUGAAAUUUAAUACCCAAGACACUAACCUUCUUGGUCAAACGACCAUUAUGACGUCAGCAGGAUAGCUGUCUUAAGCGAUAGCUGUGCGUAUGAGGACACACUUCAACGAGUUUAUUGGCUCUUGCUAAAACCUUGUGCAUGACAAUUAUGGCACCAAAUGAAAAGUAAGAACAACGAUGACAAAUUUACAAAUAUUUAAAUAGAAAUGUAUUUACGACGAUGUAGGAAGAAAAAAAACAAUCAUUGGGGCAGGGAUAAAGAAACAAGACGCAACUUUCAGAUUGGGAGGAAGGAGGCACUUAGAAAUUGUAUUCUACGAAGACGCAUCAGGGCACUACAAGUCGCAAGACCGAAUCAAACUAUUCAACUGAAGGAGCAGAGCGAGUAAAUAAAAAUCAGAAAUACAAAAAAA